AGAGUUUGAUCCUGGCUCAGGAUGAACGCUAGCGGCAGGCUUAAUACAUGCAAGUCGAGGGGCAGCACAGGUAGCAAUACUGGGUGGCGACCGGCAAACGGGUGCGGAACACGUACGCAACCUUCCUUUAAGCGGAGAAUAGCCCAGGGAAACUUGGAUUAAUACUCCAUAAGAUUAUGGUGUGGCAUCACACAGUAAUUAAAGCUCCGGCACUUAAAGAUGGGCGUGCGGCUGAUUAGGUAGUUGGCGGGGUAACGGCCCACCAAGCCAACGAUCAGUAACUGGUGUGAGAGCACGACCAGUCACACGGGCACUGAGACACGGGCCCGACUCCUACGGGAGGCAGCAGUAAGGAAUAUUGGUCAAUGGACGCAAGUCUGAACCAGCCAUGCCGCGUGGAGGAUGAAGGCCCUCUGGGUUGUAAACUUCUUUUAUUUGGGAAGAAACCCAUCUUUUCUAAGGUGGUUGACGGUACCAGAUGAAUAAGCACCGGCUAACUCCGUGCCAGCAGCCGCGGUAAUACGGAGGGUGCAAGCGUUAUCCGGAUUCACUGGGUUUAAAGGGUGCGUAGGUGGGCAGGUAAGUCAGUGGUGAAAUCUCCGGGCUUAACCCGGAAACUGCCGUUGAUACUAUCUGUCUUGAAUAUAGUGGAGGUGAGCGGAAUAUGUCAUGUAGCGGUGAAAUGCUUAGAUAUGACAUAGAACACCAAUUGCGAAGGCAGCUCGCUACACUAUCAUUGACACUGAGGCACGAAAGCGUGGGGAUCAAACAGGAUUAGAUACCCUAGUAGUCC
This 793-nucleotide ribosomal RNA is filed under the name uncultured bacterium. RNAcentral's name for it is "bacterial SSU rRNA". It matches the Rfam family "Bacterial small subunit ribosomal RNA", at positions 8 to 796 of the family's 1533-position model. The record is from RNAcentral.